This 437-nucleotide ribosomal RNA is filed under the name Salmonella enterica. Its description in RNAcentral is "bacterial SSU rRNA". The record is from RNAcentral. Lineage: Bacteria; Pseudomonadati; Pseudomonadota; Gammaproteobacteria; Enterobacterales; Enterobacteriaceae.
CUUCCGGAGCUAACGCGUUAAGUAGACCGCCUGGGGAGUACGGCCGCAAGGUUAAAACUCAAAUGAAUUGACGGGGGCCCGCACAAGCGGUGGAGCAUGUGGUUUAAUUCGAUGCAACGCGAAGAACCUUACCUGGUCUUGACAUCCACGGAAGUUUUCAGAGAUGAGAAUGUGCCUUCGGGAACCGUGAGACAGGUGCUGCAUGGCUGUCGUCAGCUCGUGUUGUGAAAUGUUGGGUUAAGUCCCGCAACGAGCGCAACCCUUAUCCUUUGUUGCCAGCGGUYMGRCCGGGAACUCAAAGGAGACUGCCAGUGAUAAACUGGAGGAAGGUGGGGAUGACGUCAAGUCAUCAUGGCCCUUACGACCAGGGCUACACACGUGCUACAAUGGCGCAUACAAAGAGAAGCGACCUCGCGAGAGCAAGCGGACCUCAUAAA